Molecule: long non-coding RNA, 1382 nt
Filed under: Mus caroli (Ryukyu mouse)
Lineage: Eukaryota; Metazoa; Chordata; Mammalia; Rodentia; Muridae
Description: lncRNA (MGP_CAROLIEiJ_G0002991.1)
Source: RNAcentral
UGACAAUAAACUGUUUAGAACCAUGGGCUGUAUCUUUUCAUCAAGAUCUGCAGUGAGGAGCCAUGAAGGAGGCCUUCACCUACAGAGUCUUAGCCUUAUCUUCCAUAGAAGGCCCCUCUGUGCUUCCCGCCACAACAGCCACCAAGCCUGCCUCCACCUAGAUAAAGACAAUCACCACAUGAGGCAAGCCUUGCCCCCCAGCCCCAGGCUAGAUGGUAUCCCCGGCCCACGGAUCCCACACUCUGUUCUCUGCUCUUUGGUGACUCCCAGUGGUGCCUGGAUGUCCAAGAGUCUGAGAAGAACCCCACAGUCCCAGCCUUGUCACAGGCCCAGGGACCCCAAGCCAGCUCCAGUUUCCCAUGUCUCAGACUGCACCUUCCCACCCCCAGAUCUGUGUCUUGGCACUUUCCUACAGCUCAGCACCCACCUCAGCAGUGGCGGCAUGGGGUAAGCACAGUCAAACUCCCAGCAUUCCACCCAGUGUCAGAGUAGACACAGGCAAACAACCCUACAAGACAUCUCAGAAGUUCUGCUUUCAGACAUGGUGUCUGGGGAUGCUUGCCACAGAAUACAACUAAGGACUUUCCCAAGGAGGAACUUCCCAAGUCUGCCCACCUCAUAGUCUUUCUGGUCUCACAAGCUGGGAUGACCCAUUUUGUCUGGGAAGUUAAGAGGUCAGGACCCAAGUGGACAAGAAAGUUGUGGAGGCUGAGGGCACUGUGGAAGCCCCUCUGUGGGAGUUGCAGGCAUGUGUGCUGUGCAGCACUCCUCAACCUAAGAGCACCCAAACCUUCUCUGCCGAGUGUAUCAGCAACAAAUGCAAAGGCCACUUCCAUAAGAUCUGGUCACCCACAGUAUCGCUCAUACUAAUGUGCCAGGGAUUGAACUCGGAUCACCAGGCUCGGAGGCAAGCACCUUUGACAUACUAAGCCACUGUGGUCCAUAAGAACAUUAAACAAAGGCCUGGAAUCUUCAAAACCAAACUGUGUAAGAUACACAGAAGUGGGAGAGAGGCAAAUCAUUUAUUUGUUACUAGGUACUUUUUCUUGUGGGAAGAAAGUUUUUUGUUAAUUCACUCAACAUUUAUUGAGAGAUGCAAGCCAUCAAAGAAAUGGCCCCUCCAGAAACUAGACACUGCAGACCAAGGGUGAACGCCUAGCCUGGAUCACCGCAGCUCAGGAAGAGGCUGCAGAAACAGAAAGUGCCCUAGAUUCUUGAAGACUUUACAAUUGUUUAAAAUCACUUAAACUCUCUGGUAAAAGAUAUAGAUACUGGCUAAUUAUUACAUAAUUUAUUUUUAUUCUUAACUCUGUAUACUGUUAAUCCUUAAAGUAAUUUCAUUCUUCCUAAUUCAUUAUUCAAAUAUUUUUUUCAUGCCCAUU